Molecule: ribosomal RNA, 164 nt
Filed under: uncultured bacterium
Lineage: Bacteria
Description: partial 16S rRNA
Rfam family: Bacterial small subunit ribosomal RNA
Source: RNAcentral
UAGGGAAUCUUCCACAAUGGGCGCAAGCCUGAUGGAGCAACACCGCGUGAGUGAAGAAGGGUUUCGGCUCGUAAAGCUCUGUUGUUGGAGAAGAACGUGCGUGAGAGUAACUGUUCACGCAGUGGCGGUAUCCAACCAGAAAGUCACGGCUAACUACGUGCCAC